CCUACGGGUGGCAGCAGUGGGGAAUAUUGGACAAUGGGCGAAAGCCUGAUCCAGCCAUGCCGCGUGUGUGAAGAAGGCCUUCGGGUUGUAAAGCACUUUCAGUGGGGAAGAAAGCCUUGGGGCUAAUACCCUCGAGGAAGGACAUCACCCACAGAAGAAGCACCGGCUAACUCCGUGCCAGCAGCCGCGGUAAUACGGCGGGUGCGAGCGUUAAUCGGAAUUACUGGGCGUAAAGCGCGCGUAGGCGGUCUGAUAAGCCGGUUGUGAAAGCCCCGGGCUCAACCUGGGAACGGCAUCCGGAACUGUCAGGCUAGGGUGCAGGAGAGGAAGGUAGAAUUCCCGGUGUAGCGGUGAAAUGCGUAGAGAUCGGGAGGAAUACCAGUGGCGAAGGCGGCCUUCUGGACUGACACUGACGCUGAGGUGCGAAAGCGUGGGUAGCAAACAGGAUUAGAUACCCUUGUAGUC
RNAcentral lists this ribosomal RNA (465 nucleotides) under Vreelandella stevensii. RNAcentral's name for it is "partial 16S ribosomal RNA". It matches the Rfam family "Bacterial small subunit ribosomal RNA", at positions 338 to 795 of the family's 1533-position model. The record is from RNAcentral. Lineage: Bacteria; Pseudomonadati; Pseudomonadota; Gammaproteobacteria; Oceanospirillales; Halomonadaceae.